This 889-nucleotide ribosomal RNA is filed under the name uncultured bacterium. Its description in RNAcentral is "bacterial SSU rRNA". It matches the Rfam family "Bacterial small subunit ribosomal RNA", at positions 8 to 896 of the family's 1533-position model. The record is from RNAcentral.
AGAGUUUGAUCCUGGCUCAGAAUGAACGCUGGCGGCGUGCUUAACACAUGCAAGUCGAACGAGAAAACCCUUCGGGGUGAGUAAAGUGGCGAACGGGUGCGUAACACGUGAGAAUCUCCCUUUUAGUGAAGGAUACCUUCGAGAAAUCGAAGUUAAUACUGCAUAAGCCUCUUCGGAGGGAAAGACGGCCUCUUGCUGUCGCUAAGAGAUGAGCUCGCGGACUAUUAGCUUGUUGGUAGGGUAAGAGCCUACCAAGGCAAUGAUGGUUAGCCGACCUGAGAGGGUGAUCGGCCACACUGGGACUGAGAUACGGCCCAGACUCCUACGGGAGGCAGCAGUGGGGAAUAUUGCACAAUGGGCGAAAGCCUGAUGCAGCGACGCCGCGUGGAGGAUGAAGGUUUUCGGAUUGUAAACUCCUGUUAAGUGGGAAGAAAUGCCUGUAAGUAAUAUGUACAGGAGAUGACGGUACCACUAGAGAAAGCUCCGGCUAACUUCGUGCCAGCAGCCGCGGUAAUACGAAGGGAGCGAGCGUUAUUCGGAAUUACUGGGCGUAAAGAGCGUGUAGGCGGUUGAUUAAGUCAGCUGUUAAAUCCCUUGGCUUAACUGAGGGGCUGCAGUUGAUACUGAUUGACUAGAGGGCAAGAGAGAGAAGUAGAAUUCUUGGAGUAGCGGUAAAAUGCAUAGAUCUCAAGAGGAAUACCAGUUGCGAAGGCGGCUUCUUGGCUUGUACCUGACGCUAAAGCGCGAAAGCGUGGGGAGCAAACAGGAUUAGAUACCCUGGUAGUCCACGCCGUAAACGAUGAUCACUAGAUGUGGGUUUUGUUUAACAGAAUCCGUGUCGUAGCUAACGCGUUAAGUGAUCCGCCUGGGGAGUACGGUCGCAAGAUUA